Molecule: ribosomal RNA, 284 nt
Filed under: Legionella pneumophila
Lineage: Bacteria; Pseudomonadati; Pseudomonadota; Gammaproteobacteria; Legionellales; Legionellaceae
Description: partial 23S ribosomal RNA
Rfam family: Bacterial large subunit ribosomal RNA
Source: RNAcentral
GUCGCGGGCGCAGGAAAUUUGAGAGGAGCUGUCCUUAGUACGAGAGGACCGGGAUGGACGUUCCGCUGGUGUACCAGUUGUGCCGCCAGGCGCAUCGCUGGGUAGCUAUGAACGGAAGGGAUAAACGCUGAAAGCAUCUAAGUGUGAAGCCCCCCUCGAGAUGAGAUUUCCCAUUCCUAUAUGGAAGUAAGACCCCUGAAAGAUGAUCAGGUAGAUAGGCUGGAAGUGGAAGUGCAGCGAUGCAUGGAGCGGACCAGUACUAAUCGGUCGAGGACUUAACCAAG